This 425-nucleotide ribosomal RNA is filed under the name uncultured bacterium. Its description in RNAcentral is "partial 16S ribosomal RNA". It matches the Rfam family "Bacterial small subunit ribosomal RNA", at positions 354 to 796 of the family's 1533-position model. The record is from RNAcentral.
GUGGGGAAUCUUGCGCAAUGGGCGAAAGCCUGACGCAGCCAUGCCGCGUGAAUGAUGAAGGUCUUAGGAUUGUAAAAUUCUUUCACCGGGGACGAUAAUGACGGUACCCGGAGAAGAAGCCCCGGCUAACUUCGUGCCAGCAGCCGCGGUAAUACGAAGGGGGCUAGCGUUGCUCGGAUUUACUGGGCGUAAAGGGCGCGUAGGCGGACAGUUUAGUCAGAGGUGAAAGCCCAGGGCUCAACCUUGGAAUUGCCUUUGAUACUGGCUGUCUUGAGUACGGUGGAGGUGAGUGGAACUCCGAGUGUAGAGGUGAAAUUCGUAGAUAUUCGGAAGAACACCAGUGGCGAAGGCGACUCACUGGCCCGUUACUGACGCUGAGGCGCGAAAGCGUGGGGAGCAAACAGGAUUAGAAACCCCAGUAGUCC